Molecule: ribosomal RNA, 460 nt
Filed under: uncultured bacterium
Lineage: Bacteria
Description: partial 16S ribosomal RNA
Rfam family: Bacterial small subunit ribosomal RNA
Source: RNAcentral
CCUACGGGGGGCAGCAGUGAGGAAUAUUGGUCAAUGGGCGCGAGCCUGAACCAGCCAAGUAGCGUGAAGGAUGACUGCCCUACGGGUUGUAAACUUCUUUUAUAAAGGAAUAAAGUGAGGCACGUGUGCCUUUUUGUAUGUACUUUAUGAAUAAGGAUCGGCUAACUCCGUGCCAGCAGCCGCGGUAAUACGGAGGAUUCGAGCGUUAUCCGGAUUUAUUGGGUUUAAAGGGAGCGUAGAUGGGUUGUUAAGUCAGUUGUGAAAGUUUGCGGCUCAACCGUAAAAUUGCAAUUGAUACUGGCAGCCUUGAGUACGGUUGAGGUAGGCGGAAUGCGUGGUGUAGCGGUGAAAUGCAUAGAUAUCACGCAGAACUCCGAUUGCGAAGGCAGCUUACUAAACUGCCACUGACAUUGAUGCUCGAAAGUGUGGGUAUCAAACAGGAUUAGAUACCCUAGUAGUC